This 253-nucleotide ribosomal RNA is filed under the name uncultured bacterium. Its description in RNAcentral is "partial 16S ribosomal RNA". It matches the Rfam family "Bacterial small subunit ribosomal RNA", at positions 524 to 776 of the family's 1533-position model. The record is from RNAcentral.
UACGAAGGGGGCUAGCGUUGCUCGGAAUCACUGGGCGUAAAGCGCACGUAGGCGGAUUGCUAAGUCAGGGGUGAAAUCCUGGAGCUCAACUCCAGAACUGCCUUUGAUACUGGCGAUCUUGAGUCCGGGAGAGGUGAGUGGAACUGCGAGUGUAGAGGUGAAAUUCGUAGAUAUUCGCAAGAACACCAGUGGCGAAGGCGGCUCACUGGCCCGGUACUGACGCUCAGGCGCGAAAGCUAGGGGAGCGAACUGG